GACGGACGCUGGCGGCGUGCUUAACACAUGCAAGUCGAACGGAAAGGCCUGCUUUCCCUUGUGGAUUGCGGGUACUCGAGUGGCGAACGGGUGAGUAACACGUGAGUGAUCUGCCCCCAACUUGGGUAUAAGCCUGGGAAACUGGGUCUAAUUCCCGAUAGGACUGCAGGGUGGUGCCUGUGGUGGAAAACGAUUUUCUAGUGGUUGGGGAUGAGCUCGCGGCCUAUCAGCUUGUUGGUGGGGUAAUGGCCUACCAAGGCGGCGACGGGUAGCCGGCCUGAGAGGGUGGACGGCCACAUUGGGACUGAGAUACGGCCCAGACUCCUACGGGAGGCAGCAGUGGGGAAGAUUGCACAAUGGGCGGAAGCCUGAUGCAGCGACGCCGCGUGGGGGAUGACGGCCUUCGGGUUGUAAACUCCUUUCGACCGCGAGGAAGCCACCUGGUUGGAAGGGUGGUGACGGUAGUGGUAGAAGAAGCACCGGCUAACUACGUG
This 494-nucleotide ribosomal RNA is filed under the name uncultured bacterium. RNAcentral's name for it is "partial 16S ribosomal RNA". It matches the Rfam family "Bacterial small subunit ribosomal RNA", at positions 28 to 507 of the family's 1533-position model. The record is from RNAcentral.